RNAcentral lists this ribosomal RNA (253 nucleotides) under uncultured bacterium. RNAcentral describes it as "partial 16S ribosomal RNA". It matches the Rfam family "Bacterial small subunit ribosomal RNA", at positions 524 to 776 of the family's 1533-position model. The record is from RNAcentral.
UACGUAGGGGGCAAGCGUUGUCCGGAUUUAUUGGGCGUAAAGAGCGUGUAGGCGGCCUGAAAGGUCAGCUGUGAAAACUCGAGGCUCAACCUCGAGACGUCGGUUGAAACCAUCUGGCUAGAGUCCGGAAGAGGAGAGUGGAAUUCCUGGUGUAGCGGUGAAAUGCGCAGAUAUCAGGAAGAACACCCGUGGCGAAGGCGGGUCUCUGGGACGGUACUGACGCUGAGACGCGAAAGCGUGGGGAGCGAACAGG